Molecule: unclassified non-coding RNA, 1229 nt
Filed under: Hevea brasiliensis (rubber tree)
Lineage: Eukaryota; Viridiplantae; Streptophyta; Magnoliopsida; Malpighiales; Euphorbiaceae
Source: RNAcentral
GAUUUUUCAAACCCCUUUAAGCGCCAAGCCUGAAAAAUGUAGGCUCCCUUCACUAAAUCUCAGCUCCCUUUCCCGCCACCUCGACAUAGGGUUUAUUGUCGCUUUCCUUUUCCACAUUCGCGUACUUCUCUUAUCCAAAUUACUCGGACAAAUUCUCUAAUUGAAAAACACCAACCCUCAAUCCCCUCAAACUCGAAGAAAUGGCCGGUCAAUCUGACUCCCACCUUUCUCUGUUUUCUCCCGAAGAGGUAGAGUUCAUGGCUGAGGAUGAACUGGUGGAGAUUGUUCCCAAUCUGAGGAUGGAUUCUCUCAAUUUUAUAUGUGGGGAUUAUGGUCCAUUUUAUCCACAAAUAGCCACCCAAGUGCCAUUUUGGUUAGCAGUGGCUCUGAAGAAGCGAGGGAAGUGCACAAUUAGGCCUCCUCAGUGGAUGUCUAUUGAAAAUUUGACUCAGGUUUUGGAAGGAGAAAGAGAUUCACAUGCUUUUCAGCCUCUACCCUUUCACUAUGUGGAGAUCUCACGACUUCUUUUUGACCAUGCACGUGAAGAUAUUCCUGAUAUAUAUAUGGUGAGGUCACUUGUCGAGGACAUCAGAGACGUAAGGUUUCAUAAAGUGGAGACUAAUCUAGAAAAGUUUACUGCAUCAACAGUGACGUGGAAGAAUAUGUCUGCAAUGGAAGUCAAUAUAAUUCGUGCAUUUUCGGGGAGAGCCUUACAAGCAUUCUAUAAGCAUGAGAAUGAACAGGUGAUGCCAGAUACAGAUAGAACACAAGAUAGACAGCCGCAAAUACCUACCAUCAGGCCAAAACGGAAUCUGAAGCCUCGAUGAUAGGUCAUCAUCAAUUCUAAACCCUUCCCAAUUUGAACCUGAUAACAAUGAUCUCAGCAGGCUACUACAGAAGGUACUUCCAUUUUCUUUGAAACCCUUUCCAAAAAGAAAAAAAAAGAAAAAUCUUAUCUAAUGCUCAUUGUAGUGAUAAAAUUACAGUUACUUCUCUGUUGAACCCUUUUGAUUAUCAUUCUAACAAUUAUUACUACUUUUAUUAAUUUACACAAUCUGAAAAAUGGUCAUGUGCAAUGGAUUGGCUUUGCUGUAUCUUUAAAGCUAUUUAAAACACUCAACUGCUAAAUUUUGGUUGACUCCACAUUCUGGGCCUUGAAUGUGUAAAAUUGAUUUCUAAGUGUAAGCGAAGAAUUACAAGAAAUUAGAGGCGGUCUGAAGAUAUGAUAU